Molecule: transfer RNA, 20 nt
Filed under: Atta laevigata
Lineage: Eukaryota; Metazoa; Arthropoda; Insecta; Hymenoptera; Formicidae
Description: partial tRNA-Leu
Source: RNAcentral
UUUAAUAUGGCAGAAUAGUG